Long non-coding RNA from Lucilia cuprina (Australian sheep blowfly), 1743 nucleotides. RefSeq lists it as uncharacterized. The record is from RefSeq and is a predicted model, not a curated record. The transcript has 2 exons. Lineage: Eukaryota; Metazoa; Arthropoda; Insecta; Diptera; Calliphoridae.
UCUUUUUUCUUCGUCUUCAAUGAGAGAAAGUUUUGUAUUAAAAUCAUCUGUUUUUUUUUCUUCUAUAGAUCAACAAGUAAAAUGUUUUGUAUUAAACGGAAACGUCUGCGGUGCUGUGCUGCGCAGCGCUGCGUGAACAGCUGUUUUACUGCUGUUGCUUUCUUCUAGCAGUGGAAGUGUAGAAUAAAGUACGUGCUAGUUGUUAGUAUUGAAACAACAAUAAUAAAGUUUAUAGAUUAUAUACACCGCUGUUAAUAAGCGCUGCCUAUUAACAGCGACAGCGUUUAGGCAGCAACGCUACGUUAUUUUAUAGAAUCACAAUACUAAAUACAACAACAACAACAAAACACAAACUGAACAAAAAUACAAAAUUGUAGAUCACGUAUAUUGAAAUACAUCAGUUUAGAUUUAACACUGCUUGACAGCACAACACGUUCGUCGUAGAUUCAGUGUUUUCUUUUUAUUUUAUUUUUUAUUCUAUCAAACAGUGUCAAAAAAAAAAUAUUAAAAAGAAAAUUUUGGGAAAUUGCAUUAAAACAAAAAAAAAAAAAUACAUACAUACAUAUAUUUCAAAUUAAUUUUACGUACGUAUAUUUUUGCAAUGACAGAAGCAUCUUGAAACAAAAAUAUUAUUAAUAAUACGAUUAAGUGCGUUUGAAAAAAUUAAAUUUCCAAAAAGUGUAUUUUUUUUUAAAUUAAGCCGGUUUUUAAAAAAAAAAUAAUUCUGUGUGAAAAGUUUUUUUUCGGCUGAUCAUCAUUAAAUUAAAAGUGGUAAAAAACGAGAAACUUGUCUGAAAUACAAAAAUAAAAUAUAAUAAAGACAAAAAAAGAACACAACCAACAUCGAGUAAAUAAUACAAAUAAAAACCCAAAACAAAUACAAUUGUUUCUGUUGAGUGAGAACAGGCAAAAAAAAAGAAAUAAAUACUACUGAAAUAAAUCUGUACAAAAACCUACCAAACCACUACAGUGUAGAAAAUUUUAUUAGAGGCAGAUCAAUUUAUCAAAAUAAAAUUUUGAUAGAUUGUUUUUAUUUGGAAUUAUAAACUUCUGUUAACUAGACCUAAAUUCAGCCAAAAACAAUAAACAGACAAACGGCAAAAGAAACAUCACAAUACAAAAGCAAUUUUAGCAAAAAGAGCGCACCAACCAACAAUAAACAAGAAAAAGAAGUGGUUAAGGAAGACUGACUGGCUGGCUGGCUGGCUGAAUGACUGACUUGCCACUAAAUACAGUUUAUUGGCCUUGACAACUCAACUAAAGAAGAUCUACCACUUUGGUCUGUUGUAUAUAUUUCUAAGCCAUCAAAAAACGUUCAACAACACCAACAAUAGAAAACUAAAACAUUUGAAAUCUUAUAUGGAAAUUCAAUAUUCAUAUUGAGACGGAGUCGACAAAACGAGUCCAUAUUUUUUUUUUUGAAAAAGAAGAAGAACAAGAACAGCAAUCUCGUUGUUAUCGUUACAAAUACAGUGUAAUGAAACAUAAAACGACGCGUUUAAAGAUCAAUAAAAUUAAACGACGUUAUCGUAUAAGUUUAAUUGAAUUUAAUGAAAAUAAAUUUAUUCAAAAUAAAAACAAUAACAACAACAGUCCAGAAAAGUGAAAAAAAAAUACUUAAAUAUUGUGUCGAAAUUUUUAUUUUCUCUAAUUAAACGUUAAACGAGCAAAUAAUCAACAACAAUUUAAACGAUUUUUUUUCCGUGAAUGUAAUUUUUUGAGGUUUGUCCUAAAAAAAAAACA